AGUGAACGCUGGCGGCGUGCUUAACACAUGCAAGUCGAACGAGAACGGGUUAUAGCUUGCUAUAAUUGUCAGCUAAGUGGCGCACGGGUGAGUAAUGUAUAGGUAAUAUGCCUCUUACUAAGGGAUAACAAAUGGAAACGUUUGCUAAUACCUUAUACUCCUUAUUAACAGAAGUUAAUAAGGGAAAGAUUUAUUGGUAAGAGAUUAGCCUGUAUUGUAUCAGUUAGUUGGUGGGGUAAUGGCUUACCAAGACUAUGACACAUAACUGGUUUGUGAGGAUGAUCAGUAACACUGGAACUGAGACACUGUCCAGAUUCCUACGUGAGGCAGCAGUGGGGAAUAUUGCACAAUGGUCGGAAGUCUGAUGCAGCAACGCCGCGUGGAGGAUGACACAUUUCGGUGCGUAAACUCCUUUUAUAUGAGAAGAUAAUGACGGUAUUAUAUGAAUAAGCACCGGCUAACUCCGUGCCAGCCGCCGCCGUAA
RNAcentral lists this ribosomal RNA (484 nucleotides) under uncultured bacterium. Its description in RNAcentral is "partial 16S ribosomal RNA". It matches the Rfam family "Bacterial small subunit ribosomal RNA", at positions 29 to 523 of the family's 1533-position model. The record is from RNAcentral.